GUUUUAAUAAUUUAAUAACUAAAAUAUUGGUCUUGUAAACCAAAAAUAAGAAAAUUUCUUUUAAAACU
This 68-nucleotide transfer RNA is filed under the name Scarabaeoidea sp. KM-2017. RNAcentral describes it as "tRNA-Thr". It matches the Rfam family "tRNA". Rfam says of the family: Transfer RNA (tRNA) molecules are approximately 80 nucleotides in length. Their secondary structure includes four short double-helical elements and three loops (D, anti-codon, and T loops). Further hydrogen bonds mediate the characteristic L-shaped molecular structure. tRNAs have two regions of fundamental functional importance: the anti-codon, which is responsible for specific mRNA codon recognition, and the 3' end, to which the tRNAs corresponding amino acid is attached (by aminoacyl-tRNA synthetases). tRNAs cope with the degeneracy of the genetic code in two manners: having more than one tRNA (with a specific anti-codon) for a particular amino acid; and 'wobble' base-pairing, i.e. permitting non-standard base-pairing at the 3rd anti-codon position. Lineage: Eukaryota; Metazoa; Arthropoda; Insecta; Coleoptera. The record is from RNAcentral.